GGGCAGGGUGGGUUUUGUUGUCCCACCAAUUUGCUCUGCUGUCUUUGUGACAGUAAACUUUCAUAUCUCUCUUGAACCCCUACUUUGUAUUCCCAGGUGAGGCUUUCUGACAUUGGUAAGAUAUUCAUUAGGAGGGUGAAAUCAGAGCAGAAGUUGCACAGCGCCUUGGGCAGUGCCUAGGAGCCCCUCUCCAGUUCCAGCGUUUCUUCUGUUUCUUCUCAAUGUGACGAAACCUGAGCAUGAAUGGGAAGAGUUCACUCGUAAUGCGGCCAGCCCCUGUGGUGUCGAGCUGAGAAAGUCUGUGGUUGUUAUUUCCUCCUGCGGGGUGUUUGUGGAUGACCAUCACUGUCCCGAGAGCACGCAGCAGACAGCACGGUGCGUCCAGGCAGAUGGCGGGCAGCGUCUGGGCAAACGUCGUGGUGUGUCCUGCUCAUGGCCAUGCCCAGCUCAAACCAGCUCCAACCCCGGCAAUGUCAACUUCAAAGGCUUCCCCACGCUGCAGCCACACUUCUGCCUGCGGAGACAAUUUCGGAAUCUCCUGAAGGCACAAGGAUGUUGGGACGCUGCGUGGCCUUUGGUGGCUCCAAGGGGAGAGAGCAGGACUGCAGGCACUGCUGUGCUGGCAGCAAGAGGGGUGCUGAGCUUGCCCUUGUGCAUGGAAACCCUCCAGAGCUCCCCCGGCUGACAUUGGAUCAGAGACAAACAAACAAGCGCAGCCCUCCCAAGGCCGAAGGAAAGCCCCAGCUCCCCGGGGAGGCAGAGUUAAUUCCAGGAUGCUGCUGGACGAGCUCUAGUGAGGGCUUGGCUGUGGCAAAGCUCUCGUUUCCCGUCUUCGUUCUGGGCAACUUUUCUGGUAGGGGAAGUUGUCUGAGAUGCCGAUAAAGAUAAUAAUGUAUGAAGUGAUUUCUUUAAGUUCCUGAUUUAUUGAAAUGUACACUAGUGUUUCCCUGUUUAAGCAAGCAAACAGCACCAUUUAGUUGGAGAAAAUUACGUGCACGAUUGGCUAUAUGGCUUCAUUUCACUGUAUUUUGAACAGAAUAUCCUGUUUACGCAGCUAAGGAAAAGCAAAAUCCACAUCUAUGAGAACUGCUGGUGUUUCUUCCAGACCCAUGCAAACCGUUGGCCAUGUUGUAGCAGGAUGCGCUCAGGAAGGGCGGAACAAGGAGCAGACGUGGGGAAGUUUCAGCUAAUAACAUCCAUUCUCAUAUGGGAAGGAAGCAGCAGGAAAAGGUCAGUGCAGGCCAGCAGUUAUGCAUUUUGUUCAAUGGAAGAUGCACAAUGGAAGAUCUUUUCUCCCAGGCAAUUACUGUAAUUAUGUUUACAAGCCAUGUAGCAGGUUUCUGACUGAACAAGCAAUCGGCAUGGGCGAUGAGA
RNAcentral lists this long non-coding RNA (1374 nucleotides) under Cairina moschata (Muscovy duck). RNAcentral's name for it is "domestica (muscovy Duck (domestic type)) lncRNA (ENSCMMG00000015398.1)". Lineage: Eukaryota; Metazoa; Chordata; Aves; Anseriformes; Anatidae. The record is from RNAcentral.